This is a long non-coding RNA of Camelina sativa (false flax), 253 nucleotides long. RefSeq lists it as uncharacterized. NCBI's taxonomy places the organism in Eukaryota, Viridiplantae, Streptophyta, Magnoliopsida, Brassicales, Brassicaceae. The record is from RefSeq and is a predicted model, not a curated record.
GUAAACUAGGAGACUGGUUUUUUGCAGGUUAACAAACCUUAUCUUCCAUUGGCAUCAGGGGAAUAUUCUGUUACAACCGGCAUUGCGAUAGUAGCUUCCUUCUCCAUCAUGAGUUUCUGGCUGGGGUGGAUAGUUGGUUCGUGGCCAUUGUUCUGGGCCCUUUCCGUGAGUUUCAUACUCGGUACUGCAUAUUCUAUCAAUUUGCCACUGUUACGGUGGAAGAGAUUUGCGUUGGUUGCCGCAAUGUGUAUCC